Molecule: small RNA, 29 nt
Filed under: Bombyx mori (domestic silkworm)
Lineage: Eukaryota; Metazoa; Arthropoda; Insecta; Lepidoptera; Bombycidae
Description: ovarian small RNA-16483
Source: RNAcentral
GCAGCCAGCGGUACGCGAGCAGUGCAAAA